Molecule: long non-coding RNA, 491 nt
Organism: Oncorhynchus tshawytscha (Chinook salmon)
Lineage: Eukaryota; Metazoa; Chordata; Actinopteri; Salmoniformes; Salmonidae
Source: Ensembl
CUGUAAGGUCUACUACACCUGUUGUAUUCAGCAUUUCACUGUAAGGUCUACCUACACCUGUUAUUCAGCAUUUCACUGUAAGGUCUACUACACCUGUGUAUUCAGCAUUUCACUGUAAGGUCUACUACACCUGUUGUAUUCAGCAUUUCACUGUAAGGUCUACUACACCUGUUGUAUUCAGCAUUUCACUGUAAGGUCUACCUACACCUGUUGUAUUCAGCAUUUCACUGUAAGGUCUACUACACCUGUUGUAUUCAGCAUUUCACUGUAAGGUCUACCUACACCUGUUGUAUUCAGCAUUUCACUGUAAGGUCUACUACACCUGUUGUAUUCAGCAUUUCACUGUAAGGUCUACUACACCUGUUGUAUUCAGCAUUUCACUGUAAGGUCUACCUACACCUGUUGUAUUCAGCAUUUCACUGUAAGGUCUACCUACACCUGUUGUAUUCAGUAUUUCACUGUAAGGUCUACCUACACCUGUUGUAUUCGGC